Molecule: long non-coding RNA, 638 nt
Organism: Triplophysa rosa
Lineage: Eukaryota; Metazoa; Chordata; Actinopteri; Cypriniformes; Nemacheilidae
Exons: 3
Source: RefSeq, a predicted model, not a curated record
CUGUAUGAAGACAUGCUAGUCGUUUCGUCGUGAAUUUAAAUUUUUUAAAGUUUGAGCAGCGAGUAAAGUUUUUAAUCCAUAUCUGCCUUUGACAUUACAACUUUGAGACACUACCGACGCGGCAAAAAAAUGAGGAUAAUGCCGCAAGAAGACGGGGAGAAUACAUUUUUCAAGAGAAAUGAAGUUGGUAGCAGAUGGAUAAUUGUUGGACUGAGCAUUGACACGGCUGAGUCAUCCGAUGAAGAUCGAGUGCUAACCCUUGUAGACGCUUUCUCGACAUCAACCCGGAGCGUGGAUCUAAAGCCAAGAAGGGGAAAGUGACUUCAAAGAAGACUGGCCAAGUUGUGCAAAAAAAGAACACUACUGUGAACCCACAGGUUUCCUCUCUUCUGAGAAAACUUACAGACUUCAAAUGGAAUUUUGUUUAGACACGUCCACUAUCCACUGUAAUUGGACUAUAGAAGGAAGUAAGGUUCCUGCAUUGUUAAUGAUGUGCUGUUAACUGUUAAUUGCAAUACAAAAGUACAGCUGGCAUUCCUACCAACAUGUUUAUACAAUGCCUUAACUCAUUGAGAGCACUUGAUUGUUAAUGUUCUGUUAAUUGUUAACGGUUCUGUUAACUGUUAAGUAAAUUUAUU